RNAcentral lists this long non-coding RNA (1376 nucleotides) under Salvia miltiorrhiza (redroot sage). RNAcentral's name for it is "long non-coding RNA (SMIL_LNC008051)". The record is from RNAcentral. Lineage: Eukaryota; Viridiplantae; Streptophyta; Magnoliopsida; Lamiales; Lamiaceae.
UACUUAAUCAGUCAACAUUAUACCAUCCCAAUAACUCCAUCCAUCCAUAAUAAAAAAUGCAAAUAUAUCCAAAUAACUUAACCAUCCAAUACUUUACUAACAAAAGUAAUGUAUCUAAGUAGCUAGAGUAGUCAUUUACAAUUUUCAACGAAAAAUGAUACUCUGAAGUAGCUUUAAGUCAAAAGCAAUCCAUCCAUCCAAACUUCCAUCUGUCAAAACGCGGAAUGAAAGCUGAAAAUCGAAGAAAAUGAUGUCCAAGAAGAUGAUGUCUAACAUUUCCUGCUAUAAUAUAAGUUGUAGUCUUGUAGACUAUAGACUUAAGCAUCAAACCAUAUUAUAAACUAGAUAAGAACACUUAUAACGAUGUAUUCCUACACGGACAAUGACUUCAAAAGUAAAGAAAUAUUUGAACAAAAGCAGUUGAAUAAAAUUUUGGAAGGUCAAUCACACGGCGUAAGGACUAUCAUACCUUCUUGACACCACAGAUUUUCUUUGCUCUGUUUUUGCAUUCUUUUAUCUGCUUCCUCNCUACGACAAUAUCUUGAACGCUAGCCAUGCUCUUAUCUGAGGAUCACCUAUGACCUCUGCUCGAACAAAAUAUAUACCAGAUAAGUGAUCACAGUUGCCUCAAUAAGAUACAAGUAAAAAAAUUAACAUAGAAAAGGUCAGAAUUAAUCAAAAAUAUUUUUAAUUGUCACAUACAAUCUUCUAGAAGCUUGUUGAUCAGCUAGACUGAUCUCUGUGAGCUCCAAAAACACGUCGAAAUAUCACAGUUCAUCCUGCUCAUUAAAACUUAACAUAGAUAACCUGAAAAAUAAUUACAAAUAAACACAUCACAAUUCAUAAAGUAACUCCGAAUCAGAACCAGGAUGCUGAACUAAGAACCUAGUUAUGCGGCACAUAACUAAUUCUGCGAAGAACACAUCACAAAACAGAGGAUCAAAGCUAUUGUGCCUCUAUAUCAAACGAACACUCACAGCAUUACGCCGUAACAUCUUACAUCAAUGUUUCGAAUCAUUUUCUUGUUUUCUGAUAACCACAAGGGCAGGAAACAAAAUCUUCAGCGAAAAACCAAAAACUAAUUAAAAAAAUAAUAAUAAUCGAACGUUAAAUGUUCGCAUACAAACAAAAGCAGACCAAAUGUUGUUCCUGUGCUAAUAGGCGAAGCAAAAGCAAGAAAAAUCCCCAUGUUUUGCAACGGAAGACAUGAUAAUAUGUUGUGGUUGAAAUAAUUAAGAAAUAUAGAUGGAUAUAUUACCUAUAUUGAUGGAGAGGAAUGGUAUCCCUAGUCUCCUCCGAGUCGAAGCGAGAAGGAAUUAGGGGUUUGAGGCGGAGGCGGAGGCGGAGGUAGCGAGGGCGGCAAGGAGGUCGAGGCG